Molecule: long non-coding RNA, 337 nt
Filed under: Physcomitrium patens
Lineage: Eukaryota; Viridiplantae; Streptophyta; Bryopsida; Funariales; Funariaceae
Description: long non-coding RNA (PPAT_LNC005693)
Source: RNAcentral
AAAUAAAUAAAAAAUCUCAUAGAAAUCCAAAAGAAAUCCAAAAGAAAUCUUAAAGAAAUUUUAAAGAAAUCUAAAAAAAUCUAAAAAAUAAUCCUUGUAAAACCUUCAAAAAACCUUAAAGAAAUAAAAAAAAAAAUCCAAAAGAAAAAUCAAAAACAAUCUUUAAAGAAAUCCUAAAGAACUCUAAAAGAAAUCUACAAGAAUCUUAAAGAAAUCCUAAAAAUUUCUAAAGAAAUCCUAAAUCUUAAUCCAAUCUUAAUUAGAUCCUAAAUCCCAAAUCAACUCCUAUCAGAUGCUAAGCCCUAAAUCAAAUCCUAAUCAAUUUCUAAAAAAAUCU